CGGAUCGUAAAGCUCUGUUGUUAGGGAAGAACAAGUGCCGUUCAAAUAGGGCGGCACCUUGACGGUACCUAACCAGAAAGCCACGGCUAACUACGUGCCAGCAGCCGCGGUAAUACGUAGGUGGCAAGCGUUGUCCGGAAUUAUUGGGCGUAAAGGGCUCGCAGGCGGUUUCUUAAGUCUGAUGUGAAAGCCCCCGGCUCAACCGGGGAGGGUCAUUGGAAACUGGGGAACUUGAGUGCAGAAGAGGAGAGUGGAAUUCCACGUGUAGCGGUGAAAUGCGUAUAGAUGUGGAGGAACACC
This 300-nucleotide ribosomal RNA is filed under the name Bacillus subtilis. RNAcentral's name for it is "bacterial SSU rRNA". It matches the Rfam family "Bacterial small subunit ribosomal RNA", at positions 419 to 710 of the family's 1533-position model. Lineage: Bacteria; Bacillati; Bacillota; Bacilli; Caryophanales; Bacillaceae. The record is from RNAcentral.